UACAGAGGGUGCAAGCGUUUAAUCGGAAUUACUGGGCGUAAAGCGCACGUAGGCGGCUUUGCAAGUUAGAGGUGAAAGCCCGGGGCUCAACUCCGGAAUUGCCUUUAAAACUGCAUCGCUAGAAUUGUGGAGAGGUAAGUGGAAUUCCGAGUGUAGAGGUGAAAUUCGUAGAUAUUCGGAAGAACACCAGUGGCGAAGGCGACUUACUGGACACAUAUUGACGCUGAGGUGCGAAAGCGUGGGGAGCAAACAGGG
Molecule: ribosomal RNA, 255 nt
Filed under: uncultured bacterium
Lineage: Bacteria
Description: partial 16S ribosomal RNA
Rfam family: Bacterial small subunit ribosomal RNA
Source: RNAcentral